RNAcentral lists this ribosomal RNA (253 nucleotides) under uncultured bacterium. RNAcentral's name for it is "partial 16S ribosomal RNA". It matches the Rfam family "Bacterial small subunit ribosomal RNA", at positions 524 to 776 of the family's 1533-position model. The record is from RNAcentral.
UACGAAGGGGGCUAGCGUUGCUCGGAAUUACUGGGCGUAAAGGGCGCGUAGGCGGAUAGUUUAGUCAGAGGUGAAAGCCCAGGGCUCAACCUUGGAAUUGCCUUUGAUACUGGCUAUCUUGAGUUCGGGAGAGGUGAGUGGAAUGCCGAGUGUAGAGGUGAAAUGCGUAGAUAUCAGGAGGAAUACCGGUGGCGAAAGCGACUCUCUGGACGGCAACUGACGCUGAGGCACGAAAGCGUGGGGAGCAAACAGG